RNAcentral lists this unclassified non-coding RNA (365 nucleotides) under soil metagenome. RNAcentral's name for it is "partial contains 5.8S ribosomal RNA, internal transcribed spacer 2, and large subunit ribosomal RNA". The stretch from base 1 to 120 matches the Rfam family "5.8S ribosomal RNA", at positions 35 to 154 of the family's 154-position model. The record is from RNAcentral.
GAUGAAGAACGUAGCGAAAUGCGAUAAGUAAUGUGAAUUGCAGAAUUCAGUGAACCAUCGAAUCUUUGAACGCACAUUGCGCCCGCCAGUAUUCUGGCGGGCAUGCCUGUCCGAGCGUCAUCUCAACCCUCGAGCCCCCCCGGGGGCUCGGCGUUGGGGACCGGCCCCGCCCCAGGGCGCGCCGCCCCCCAAAUCCAGUGGCGGUCCCGCCGCAGCCUCCCCUGCGCAGUAGCUUGCAGACUCGCACCGGAGAGCGGCGCGGCCACGCCGUAAAACCCCCCGACCACGGAGCCCCGGCUCCUGAACGUUGACCUCGGAUCAGGUAGGAAUACCCGCUGAACUUAAGCAUAUCAAUAAGCGGAGGA